GAUGAACGCUGACAGAAUGCUUAACACAUGCAAGUCGAUUCAAGUUACCUUCGGGUAACAAGGAUGGCGGACGGGUGAGUAACGCGUGGGUAACCUGCCCUAUGCAGGGGGACAACACCGGGAAACUGGUGCUAAUACCGCAUAACAUACGAGGUUCGCAUGAACUUUGUAUCAAAGAUUUAUCGGCAUAGGAUGGACCCGCGUUGGAUUAGCUAGUUGGUGAGAUAACAGCCCACAAAGGCGACGAUCCAUAGCCGGCCUGAGAGGGUGAACGCCCACCCUGGGACUGAGACACGGCCCCGACUCCUACGGGGGGCAGCAGUGGGGAAUAUUGCACAAUGCGCGCAAGCCUGAUGCAGCGACGCCGCGUGAAGGAUGAAGGUCUUCGGAUUGUAAACUUCUAUCAGCAGGGAGGAACCAAAUGACGGUACCUGACUAAGAAGCCCCGGCUAACUACGUGCCAGCCGCCGCCGUAAUAC
RNAcentral lists this ribosomal RNA (479 nucleotides) under uncultured bacterium. RNAcentral describes it as "bacterial SSU rRNA". It matches the Rfam family "Bacterial small subunit ribosomal RNA", at positions 28 to 526 of the family's 1533-position model. The record is from RNAcentral.